GGCCGGUGCAACAAGGUUGACGCGGUCAGUCUUUAUGCUUCAUGUAGGUUGAAUUUACUUACCAAAGGGGCAGAUUUGAUUUGCGUGCGGGGCUAAAUGCUUAAAGACGUUACGAAGAUCAUUACUUACCUAAGAUUUAUUUUAUUUUAUUUGAGGGUUUUAAGUUUAGAUUUAUAAGGUUGAGAGGCAUCAUUUUUUCUAUUUUUUUUUUCUAAGCAUGAAUACCUCAUUGUUUUACUAUUCCGUUGUUAAUAUAUAUGUAUUACAUGCAGUGCUAUGUUUAUUUGCCGUAAAAUACGUAAAAUUUGCGUGCAUUGUUCUUAAUUGUUAAUAUUUGCCUAAGUAUUCAAACUAUUCAAAAUUGUGAUCGUUCAAGUAGUUACUUGCUAACAUUUAACAUCAAUAUUUCAAAUCAAAUUGUAAAUGCUUUGUUCUAAAAUGAAUUAAUUAUAAUAAAUAAAUUUGUUCAGUGUUAAUAUUUAAGUAUAUGUAUAGUUUUACAUCAUUGAUACACCGACAAAGACGUGAAACUUUAGAAUACGUCGAUCUAAAGAUUGAAUUUGGACUUAAACGGACUGUAAGCGUUAUUUCAAGUGGCACCUCAAUGCAAGGGAAUGCCCGAAUGUCCACUGCGUAUAGUACAGUCUGCAGAGUUCAACGCAGCGCACAGCGGAGUUUGCAGCUGAUCAUACAAGCGGAUUUAGAUACGUGUACACACAUAUUUCUGUACUGGACGAACACAGAAAGGUUCUAUGGGUUCCAUUGUAAAUCAGGCAUUCCCCUCUUUGCAUGGAGGGUCAUUAAAAUUACGCUUACACUCCUUUUAAUUUCUAAGGUACAUUCGAUCAAGGAUAUUGAAUAUAUCUAUGUACAAAAAACAUCAAAAUCCCGUCCCCAUAGUAUUGUUAUUUGCCAAUUGUUUUGAAUAAUUUUUUUCAAUUGACAAAACUUCCAAGAUUCCAAUUUUAUUAUCGUAAAGUUCUUUUCAAUAUCUUUAUCUUUUUGGAUAGUUUUUUGUAUUUAUCUUCUGACAGGGUGAAAAUUAGAUAUAGUGUAAGCAAAGCAAAUCAACUUUUGUCCUCAUAAAAAAUUUUCAUUUUUUCUUUUUGAUUUGAAUUAUUUACUUGUGCUUAUUAUUCCAUUUUAAGUCGAGAUCUAUUUAUAUGGUAAAUUAGUGGUAAAAUACGCUCAACACAAUUAAUACUAAAUAUACAUUCAUGUCAAAAUAUUAAAUAGUAUAGACAGGCAAAAUAACUAUUUAUAACAUUCAUAUUUAUUUUUGACUUAAUUUCAAAUGAUUAUGAUAAUUAAGAACGAAAUGUGAGGUUUGCCAAAUUAUUGUAAUUUAUAAUGAUAAUAAGCAUGAACUGGUAGAGUUGCGAUCUUUUUGCUCCUAAAAGUUAAAACCCUAAUCUUAAAAAUAAAGAAAUUAUUGAAAUGGUCCUUAACAUCCUGAUUACUUUGGUUCUAAAAGUCUGAAUAAUUAUCGUAUGCUCUUAAUUUUUCUCAAACUCAUUACCCAUUAAAUAAAGUAUUGAAAUGUUACAUUUUAAACAAUUUCAAUUUAAAAGUUUCUUACAAAGAGAAUUUCAAACUAAAUUGUUGGCGUUCAUUUUGACACUGACGGGAGUGAAAAACAAUUGAUUUCCCUGGUUCAUAGUUCCAAAGAAAAAAUAUUAAAUUCUAUUUCUUAAAUAAUUCAGUAAAUGUUCAUGACCUGGCUCUGAAUUCAUUUUUUCAGGGCGGAUCCAUCAAAAUUAAAGGGAUUCUGGAUUGCAGAGACAUCAUUGGAAUUUGCUGGGUAAGGUAGGAAGUCAUAGUGUUUACUGUUUGUUUAUUUACAAUAAAACAAUUAUCAAUAA
This 1862-nucleotide long non-coding RNA is filed under the name Eurytemora carolleeae. RNAcentral describes it as "uncharacterized LOC111702491". Lineage: Eukaryota; Metazoa; Arthropoda; Copepoda; Calanoida; Temoridae. The record is from RNAcentral.